GCUCAAUCAGCUUCCGCGCGAUUCUCAGUCGCCGGUUCAGCUAUCGAUAAUCAUCGCGCCUUCUCGAUCUUCUGGAUGAUCCAGACUGUGCUAACCGAUUAGCGUUCGAUGCUUCCUCAUGUCUCUCGGUAGAUUUUCCGAAACGUAUCGCGACCUGAGUCACUGUCUUCGUUAUCGUUGUCGCUCGAAAAGUCUCGUGCGCAUCAGCAAAUGCGACGAAGUCGCAACUAAAUUGAUAACUUCCGUUAAAUAUCCGGAGAAAACCUGGAGUUCGACGUCCCGGGAAAAUUCCGAGGAAUUGCGUUGCGUAGUUAUUAGAAAUCGACGUUGCUGUUAAAUCAUUUAAAUAGCAAUGGAAUUUAGUGCGAAAUUAUUCGCUCCACAUGGAUAUCGUUAUCGAUCUUUUUUGUUACCGAGGAAGUCGCUUUCCAUAAGGAGGAGCUUAAGUCAUGAACCUCUUAAGUUUUAUCUUCCAAUAUUAUUUUCAAACAUCUUUUCCUCAUCGAUUGCGAUAUUUUUCACGAUUAUAAAUUAUAAAACUGCUGAUAAUUAGAUGAUCACUAUGUUUUUCUCGACGAAAACUAAUGACGAUGAGAAGUGACGCAUAUGCAUCCGGUUUCAUCGAAGGAGACUUAAUAAUUUAUAUGAUCAAUCUUCCUUCGCGUGUAGUUUCUUUCAAUAUUCAAUCAUCAAUAAAAUCAUCGAGUGAUAAGAAACGAGCAACGAUUGUCGCUUCAGUCAACUGCGACUAUCUUGUUUUUGCACAAAGUUUAUCAACUUAAACUGCGAUUUUAGCAAAAUAUCACGCAACUGCAUACAGAUUCAGUUUCAAAGUUACAAUUAUCCCGAAUGCACAAAAUCAUUCAUUUUCUGUCACUUUUGUCGUGAUUCAAGUGUAAAGAAUCAUUGAGUCCGGACACAUUCUGUUUGUCCAUUUUUUUUUUCACUAAAAUUUGCAAUUGUCACGAUUGUUUCGUAGAUUCUUAUUACACGUGUAUUUCAGAUUUUACUAUUCAUGCUUGUUGUUCUUGACUGUCUGUGACACUCCGUCGCGAGAGUCGAGCGAUACGCAACGCGAUCGCACUGUUGAUGGCUGGCGAGCAUAAGAGCAACUGACUCCGAACGGCCACUCUAGAGUUAACCAUCCCCCACCACGAGCCAUGAGCACCCUUAUCUGCUGCACUCCGCUUGUGGCUAAUUCUCCUUGACGAAGAUACUCGGCGCUCGCUUUGUGUGGGUGCGAACGCAAGGGAGAUUAAAUCUGCGGACAACAAGAGUCAGUCUGUAUUUGUGGUGCCAUUGUUAACUGCACGACGCUUCUUUCUUCGCGAUGACCUGAAGUCUUUUCUUGGCCAAGAACGCAUAUCUAAUCGAUAGAUUCGAUCUUCUCUCCUUCACGAAAGUACCGUAGUGGUAGAAAGUGCGCAUAGAUCAUGAUGAUGAGCCAUAACGAGUGCGUGUCGAGCGAACCAGCAGGGAGAUCGUGCAUGGGGUAUAGUACGCCUGACAGGAGCGUGAUCCAAAUGCGCGCGCUCGCGCGAGAGGCUGAGUGAGUUGGAGGUCGGAGGUGUAUAUUGGCCAUUUCCGCAGGAAGCCCUAGGUAACCGUUGAGGUUCUAACUGAACGUGCCACGGAUCUAUGCUAUCGUUUCAUAACAUGCCAGUGCUCUGGAUUCGCGCCGGUGUUGCGCGUAGAACGUUCCCGAAACGCUCGAUCUCCGCUCUCGAUCUACCUCGCGUUCCUGCAAAUCGCGGUGGAAAGAACGAAAUUAAUCCUUCCUGGUUGACGUUGCAGUCAUUGGAUUAUUCAAAUCUAGAUGUACGCAUCAAAUUUCUCUCAUAUUUUAAUAGCGUGCAAAAAUCAAAAACUUUUGUUACGUUAAAAUAGAUAUGUGAAAAAUAUCUUACCAUCUAUCUAUCUUAAUAUCAUUACACGUUGAAAAAAAUUCAGUAUUGUAUUUAAAAGUUUAUUUCUUUUUAUUAACAUUUAAAGCUUGUAAUAAUCGAUUCUGAAACUCAAUAUUAAUUAAUAUUCUAUUGAAAUAAAGUUUACUGAGUAUUUCAAUUUCAAAAUAUGAUUUUCACGCAUAAUGUUUGAUUGGUUGUAACUCAACAUUUUUUGGAAUAGUUUAUAUGAUAUUAAUUUAACUUUUAUAUUAUAAUCUAUUUAAAUGUUUAGGAAAUUGUAUUAUGACAUGCUUAUUCAGAAAAGAUAAUUUAAAAAAAAAAAGUAACAAUAAAAAUGUAUAACUUUUUAUUUUUACUUCUUAAAAUGUAAUUUUGCAAACAAGAAAAUUAAUAACAAGCGUCUUAUUUUAUAAAUGUGUUCUUAAGAGAAACAGAUGUAAAAAUUUCUAUAUAAUAUUUUCUUUUCAAUAUAUGAUAAAGGAUACAAGAUAAGAAAGCCUUUCAACAAAAGACUAACUCGAUAAAAUCAAAUUUUGUUGACUACUGAAUGAAAAUAGUGUCGUAUGUCAAAUAUAUGCAGCACAUUACAAUUUACAUGAUAUUUAUGCUUGGAAUCAAAAAUAUUUUUUAGGGGUUUAGCUUGACAUAAAAUGUGACAAAGUUAAUAGUAUGCUAAUUGCGAUGACUAUGUAACUGGCGUCUAAUUCGUAAAUGAUGGUAGUUCGUCGACAUUUGUUUUGCAUACAAGGCAAUUGUGAAAUGAAUAGAACGGCUUUCAGACGUGAGUUGUCUAGAGUCUAGACGGCACUCUAGUCCAGAUCUACCCUGCUUUACUCUUGAUACACCAACAAUUCGGGUCUAUUAGGCCCAAUAAAGGGUAUCAAAGAGGAGGAAUCCGCCCCAAGUCAAUGAUAAAUGUGGUGUUUGUUGGACCGUUCGUGCACAAAUAUACACGAAUGCACAUGUGGGGUGCGGGUGGAUACCUAAUUUAGAUUGAAUAUAAGCAUCAGGGCUGUUUUGUUAUGAUAGAUGUACGUUUAUACAAUAUUUAAAGGUCUCAAAAAAUUGUUAUCUUACAUAAACAUAAUUUUUAAUUUAUAAAAAUUAAGAUAUUAGUAGUUAUCCUGUCAAAUUUAAUAUAUAA
Long non-coding RNA from Formica exsecta, 3051 nucleotides. RefSeq lists it as uncharacterized. The record is from RefSeq and is a predicted model, not a curated record. NCBI's taxonomy places the organism in Eukaryota, Metazoa, Arthropoda, Insecta, Hymenoptera, Formicidae. The transcript has 3 exons.